Molecule: ribosomal RNA, 223 nt
Filed under: uncultured bacterium
Lineage: Bacteria
Description: partial 16S ribosomal RNA
Rfam family: Bacterial small subunit ribosomal RNA
Source: RNAcentral
UACGUAGGGUGCAAGCGUUAAUCGGAAUUACUGGGCGUAAAGCGUGCGCAGGCGGCUAUGCAAGACAGAUGUGAAAUCCCCGGGCUCAACCUGGGAACUGCAUUUGUGACUGCAUAGCUAGAGUACGGUAGAGGGGGAUGGAAUUCCGCGUGUAGCAGUGAAAUGCGUAGAUAUGCGGAGGAACACCGAUGGCGAAGGCAAUCCCCUGGACCUGUACUGACGC